Long non-coding RNA from Zonotrichia leucophrys gambelii, 297 nucleotides. RefSeq lists it as uncharacterized. NCBI's taxonomy places the organism in Eukaryota, Metazoa, Chordata, Aves, Passeriformes, Passerellidae. The transcript has 3 exons. The record is from RefSeq and is a predicted model, not a curated record.
CUGUGGUGUCUCAUCAAGAUUAGGCAGUUCUGCUGUGUUGGAAGUGCAUGGAAUCCGGCCAUAUUAGGAUCAAAUCCCAGGACAGAGGAGGUUCUGGGUCCUGCACUGUGACCCCUGCAGCACUACAGUUCAGUUGAACAGAAGAUGGUCAGAAGAUGAAGAGGUCUGGCUCCACAGAGAGCUACUCACUUGAGCAUCCAGACAGGCAGAUUGAAAAGAACAUCUGAAACAGCUACAGAAGGUCAGUUCUGAUAAAAUAAUUAUUGGAAACAAUGUCUUUAGAGAAGCAGAAUUUCC